AAAAUGUUAAGUAGAGUGAAAAAUGUAUCACUGAUUAACCAGUGGAAAUUUAUUACAGCAGUUAAGAGCCCUGGGUCUGGAGCAAAACUGCUGAGGUUUGAGGCCCCGUUUUGCUGCUCACUAGCUACAUGAUCUUGGGCAAGUUAUUUAAGCUCUCUGAGCUUCAGUUUCUUCCUCUGCAGAAUGGGGAUGAAAGUGGACUACUACCUCAUGGCAUGUUUUGAGGAUGAAAUGAGCUAAUAAACACAGUCUUCAGCCCUACAUUAGGAUGGCCUAAGGAAAACAAGAAGACUGAAUGAUAUUCCCUGGUUCUCACUCUGUCAUCCAAGCUAGAGUGCAGUGGGGUAAAACACGGCUCACUGCAGCCUCGAUCUCUUGGCUCAAGCUAUCCUCCUGCCUCAGCCUCCUGUUUAUCUGGGACCACAGCUGACUUAUAUAAGUUAUUAGUCUUCUAGAAGGAUCACAAGGAACCAGCAUCAAAGAAAUGGAAUCCAGCUAAUUCCCCCAAGAAACUGAAGUUUUCGGGACAUGACUUGUGAAAGGCAAACAUAAGCUGACAUCUUUUCACACUGAACAGCAAGAGCCAAAGUGUAUCCGAAAAGCCAUUGUCAAAACAAGGAGUGAGAACAGCUGGGGUCAAGACCUAAUGAAGGGCAUCACUCAGCCUCUUUGAGCCUCGGAUUCCUCAUUUGUAAAGUGGGCAUAAUAAUACCUCACAGGGUAGUUAUGAGGGCAAAUGAGAUAAUGGACACGAAGGCACCUGUACACUCCACGGUGCUAUCAGAAUAUUGACUAUUAGUGCUUUCAUCACGCGGCUCCAUCCAAACCCCUGCUUUCCCUCACUCCAACAGGCUUUUACUCUGUCACCCAUGCUGGAGUGCAGUGGUGCAAUCUUGGCUCACUGAAACCUCUGCCUCCUGGAUUCAAGCGAUCCUCCCACCUCAGCCUCCCGAGUAGCUGGGACUACAGGCAACCUGGCGGUUCCCCGCUCCAGGGAGGUCACCCUCUUGAUGCUGAAUUUAGCACGGACACCUGAUGGGCACAGUGCACUGCAGCCCAGAGCUCCUGAGCUCAAGCCAUCCUCCUGCCUCAGCCUCCAAGUAGCCAGGACCACAGGCACGCACCCUGAGGAGGAAGAAAUACCAGGUGCGCAUGCUCCAAGAAAAAGCCAUCUGAGGACGCGGCAAGAAGGCCGCCAUCUACAAGCCAAGGAGAGGGGCCUCAGGAGAAAUCGAACCUGUCACACCUUGAUCUUGGACUUCCAGCCUUCAGAACUGUGAGAAAGUAAAUUUCUGUGUUCAAGCUACCAGGUCUGUGGGAUUUUUUAUGGCAGCCCUAGCAGACUAAGACAGGCAUCAAUGGUUCCAAUGUUUUCAUUUUUUUUCCGGUAAGCAGACCGAAGCCCAGAGAGAUGAAGCAAUUUGCCCAAAGUCACAUACCAAGUUAACUGAAGAGUUGGGGUUAGAAUCCAGCUCUUGUGACUUCUCUCUUUUCAGUUUCCCUUCCCACUCCCCCCACUGAAAAGCUUUUGAGUGACUCUUUUAGAAAUCCCGGUUCUGUAUAUGAAGCAGAAUUGAGCACAGCUGCUCUAAUGAAGGGCUCAGAGCUCCCAGGCUUUUCUCUCUCCCCUGCCCCUUUUCCCUGUUGCACCUCUGCAGUGUCCUGAGGGUUGAUGGAAUCUAGUUUGAAAGCUAUUGCUCUACCUCACUGCCUCCUGAAUGCAAUGUCACAAAUUUUCCCAACUUGCCAUUUCUCUCACACUGACAUAAAGCAUUAGAAACCUGUUGUGAAGUAGGAAAGCUAACUGGGUCAGUAGCUGAUAAGAUAAUCUGGCCUAGGGGAUAGAUGAUUAGGAUUUCAGAGAAGGAAAGGUCACCCAAUUGAUUUGACUCUGUCCUGGGGCGAUGAUAUGGUGAAGAUUUCUACAGAUGCAGCAGAAACAUCCGGAAACCAGGUGUGUCCCAGCUCUGGUCUGGGAACCAUUUCAUAAAUUGGCAAAUAUCCAGGAUAUACACAUGGCUAAUUCUGAGGUGUACUGAAGUUUCAAUAAAGCUACUUUGGUAAUGACUAGGAGAAGAAAAUCCUAUGGCUGGACUUCAUUAAUGUUGUAUGGCCAAGGACAGUGUUUCUCUAAUUAUGGCCUGUGAACCUCCCUGGAUCUCGAUCACCUGCAUAUUUGGGAAUAUGCAGGUUCCAGGGUCCCACCUGAAACUACAGAAUCAGUAUUGAGAUCCCAGGUGAUUCUCAUGUACACUCAAGUGUAAGAUUAUUAGCACCUGGACUUUGGAAGCAGCCAGAUAAAAGUUUGGAUCCUGGGUUGGCUACUUCCUAGAUGUGGCCAAGUCAUUUUACUUGCCAUGCUUUUGCUUUUCUUGUCUGUAAAGUGGACAUGAUACCUAUUUUACAGGGUGGUUUUGAGGAAUAAGGUCAGCAUUAAACAUUUAUCCUCUUUAGGGAGACAGAGAGAGGAGAUGAAAUAGAGUAGAAUUGAGAAAAGCAGUUUCUUAGACCUCCCUGUGAAGUUUUUCUUAUUUCAACAAAUAAUAAAAUAAAAAAUUCAUACACUUUCUUAGUGCUUGUUUGGACUUAAGAAUUUAAAAAUAACUUGAGAGUUUUAUAGGCAUCAAGGAUGAUGUCUGAGUGCUGGAAAUACUUGACCUUUGGCUGGAAGGUGGAGUGAAGGUGCCAGCGGACUGAACCCUGGGAGACUGUCUUCUGUUUUAUGAAUGUGGUCAUGCUCUGAGUUAAAUGAUGUCCCUGGUAAGGACAUCUCCCAGAAAAGCUUAGAAAUCAGCUGUAAUCCUUGUUCCCUGCAAGACCCUUGACUUGGAUGUUAAGAGUUCCCUAUAAUGAUAAUAGCUACCUUUACUGAGCACUACUUGUUAGCCAGGCAUUGUGCUAAGUGCUUUAUGUGCAUUAUGUUAUGCAAUCCUGCAAAUACCGUUACGGGGCAGGUAAUAUUAUUAAUGCUAUUUUAACAAUGACAAAAGUAACUCACUGAUUAGGACUCUGAGUAGUAUCCAUACCACUGUAAGGAUAACAAAGAGCAAAGGCAGAUUAGGUCCGGCUCUGCUGUUUGUUGGGUGUUUUACUUAGAUUUAACCCCUAGACAAGUCUGAGUCUUGAUAUGGUCUUGCCUAUUACUCUACUUCUUUCUCUGCUGUGCACAGAUGGAGACUGGCAUCUGUAUUAAUACCAGGUUGUGUGCUUAAAGUCCAAUGAAUAGCAUUUUUUUUUUUUUUUGAGAUGGAGUCUCAUUCUGUUGCCCCGGCUGGAGUGCAGUGGUGCGAUCUCUGCUCACUGCAACCUCCGCCUCCCAGGUUCAAGCAAUUCUCCCACGUCAGCCUCCUGAGUAGCUGGGAUUACAGGGGUAUGCCACCAUGCCUGGCUAAUUUUUGCAUUUUUAGUAGAGAUGGGGUUUCACCAUGUUGGCUAGGCUGGUCUCGAACUCCUGACCUCAGGCGAUCCACCUGCCUUGGUCUCCCAAAGAGCUGGGAUUACAGGCGUGAGCCACUGCACUGAGCCCAGUGAAUAGCAUUUAAUAAAUGUUUGUAAAUGCUCUGAAUGUACUAUGAUAAUACAACAAAGUUGUACACAUAAGAUUAUCAUAGCAAAAAAUGGAGAGUAACCUUGGUUACUUCUAUAUAGUUAUUUAAUUUUAAUUUUUUUUUUUGAGAUGGAGCCUUGCUCUGUCACCCAGGCUGGAGUAUAGUGGCGUGAUCUUGGCUCACUGCAACCUCCACCUCCUAGCCUCCUAGGUUCAAGCGAUUCUCCUGCUUCAGCCUCCUGAGUAGCUGGGACUACAGAUAUAUACUACCAUGCCCCUUUAAUUUUUGUAUUUUUGGUAGAGAUGAAGUUUCACCAUUUUGGCCAGGCUGGUCUUGAACUCCUGACCUCAAGUGAUCAGCUCACGUCUGCCUCCCAAAGUGCUGGGAUUACAGGUGUCAGCCACCGUGCCAGGCCAAUUUUUUUUUUUUUUUAGAGACAGAGUCUUGCCUUGUCAGCCAGGUUGGAGUGUAGUGGUAUGAUCACAGCUUAUUGCAACCUCGAACUCUUGGGCUCAAGUGAUCCUCCAGCCUCAGCCUCCCGAGUAGCUAUGGCUACAGGUGCAUACAAUCAAAUGCCUGGCUAAUUAAAAACAUUUUUUUUUCUGUAGAGAUAGUUUCUCGCUAUGUUGUCCAGGCUGGUCUUGAAAUCCUGGCCUCAAGCAAUCCUCCUGCUUCAGCGUGGGAUUACAAGCAUGAGCCACUGUGCCCAGCCUAUACAGCCAUUUAAAAUGAUUGUAUAGCUCUAUAAUAAAUGAAUAACAUACAUACCAUAAUAAAAGAAUAAAGCAGGAUAUGAAGUAGCAUGAUUAAUGGAAUCUCAUUUUUGAAAAUCAAAUAUGUUUAUAUGUACAUAGAAAAAAUAUGGAAGGAUCUACCCCAUAAUGUUAGUUGAGCUCUGAAUGGUAGAUUUAGGAUUUUUUUUUUUUUUUUUUUUUUUUGAGACAGUCUCACUCUGUCACCCAGGCUGGAGUGCAGUGGCGUGGUCUCAGCUCACUGCAACCUCUGCCUCCCGGGUUCAGGUGAUUCUCUUGCCUCAGCCUCUGGAAUAGCUGGGAUUACAGGUGCCCGCCACCACACCUGGCUAAUUUUUGUAUUUUUAGUAGAGACGGGGUUUCUCUAUGUUGGCCAGGCUGGUUUUGAACGGCUGACCUUGUGAUCCGCCUGCCUCAGUUUCCCAAAGUGCUAGGAUUACAGGUGUGAGCCACCAUGCCCUACGAUUUAGGAUGUUUUUUGACUCUGAAAAAGAAAAAUUGUCUGAUUUUUCUUUUUCUGUUUUUAUUUUUACAGUGAGCUGAACACACAUCAUUUUUAUAACUGGGAAAAAUGUGCCACUAUUAUUUUGAAAAUUAAAUUCCUUGGAAAUAAAAAGCUAAACAUUCUACCAUCUUCCAUGUUAUUGUGGGUUUGUAUUUGCUUCUCUAAGAGAGUGAUUAGGAGAUGCUCUGAAGACUCUCAGCACACCAAAAGGAUAGCUAUUCUAAACAUUCCUUUUAGCACCUUCACAUACAUUCAAUGCAUUCCUCAAUGUAUCACCCAAUGCAUUCUUGUUGAAUAAGUGAAUGAGCAUUGAGAAGAAAAUCUGUGAUCAAUAUGCAAAGUGUUGCAAAAGAAGAACACUUUCAUAAGGAUGAGAAGUCAUAACAAUAGAAAAUAAUAACUUUCAAUUUCUUUUUCUUAGAUUCCUGGUAGCUGGAUUAAUUUGUGUUCAAAGUGAUUCACUGAGUCUAGUGAGAUCCUAGAACAAGGUUGGGGCUGUUUAAGUCACUCUAAGAGCUCCCUCCAGACAUUUCUGUCAGCCUGUCUACACCAUAUCUCUUUUCAUUAUUCUUGUUGCCUUUGGUGGCUGUCACAGACAGGAGAGCCAAAUAAUGCUCCUAGCAGCACAUAUCAUUUCUGCUUUGUCCA
Molecule: long non-coding RNA, 5453 nt
Filed under: Homo sapiens (human)
Lineage: Eukaryota; Metazoa; Chordata; Mammalia; Primates; Hominidae
Description: HSALNT0342451
Source: RNAcentral